CGCCCUGCUUUGACUCCAAAGGAUCCUUCACUCAGUCCUUAGAACACACACUAACCACGGCCUAUCACAGCCAUCACCAGGGCCACGAAAUACGGGACAAACAAGGGAAGUGCGGUAUGAAACAAGACGACUCUCCCUGCAAGCGGGGCGGAGCCUAGCUGUCCUUAAACACAGAGGGGAGCUUGGAAAUUAUCCCAUGGGGCACAGGGUGGCUCUAUUUUUAUUCAAGGAGAUAAAAAGUAACUCUACGCUUCUAGAACUUUUAGGACUGUGAUUAUGUCUUCCCUCUCCAUGCCGGCCUGUAAUGCCGGUUGUAAUGCCUGAGACAGACUCAGCGGGGCUGAGGCCAUCACAAGCAGCUGCAGGUACAAAAAUGUUCAAACAAUUGAAUGCAGAUGAAAGUAACCAUCGCAUGACCUCAUCAUGCUUCCUUUCAACAGGACCUGCUACCUGCAGACCUCACAGGAUACCACGUUUAUAUUAAAACACAAAGGCCCAGUCUGGUUCUGA
Long non-coding RNA from Artibeus jamaicensis (Jamaican fruit-eating bat), 510 nucleotides. RefSeq lists it as uncharacterized. The record is from RefSeq and is a predicted model, not a curated record. The transcript has 2 exons. Lineage: Eukaryota; Metazoa; Chordata; Mammalia; Chiroptera; Phyllostomidae.